This 3366-nucleotide ribosomal RNA is filed under the name Triticum aestivum (bread wheat). Its description in RNAcentral is "partial small subunit ribosomal RNA". The record is from RNAcentral. Lineage: Eukaryota; Viridiplantae; Streptophyta; Magnoliopsida; Poales; Poaceae.
AUGCCGACGCCGGUGGCCGCGGCGCGGCAGUGCCUCUCUCCGGCCGCCGUCACCGCCCUCGACGCGGCCGUCGUCUCCGCGCGCUGCCGCGCCCACGCGCAGACAACCUCGCUCCACCUCAUCUCCGCCCUGCUCGCGCCUCCCGCCCCGCCGCUCCUCCGCGACGCGCUCGCGCGGGCACGCAGCGCCGCCUAUGCCCCGCGCGUCCAGCUCAAGGCGCUCGAGCUCUGCUUCGCGGUCUCGCUCGACAGGCUCCCCUCCGCCUCCUCCUCCUCCUCUGCCUCCGGCGCCGACGACGCGGAGCCGCCCGUCUCCAACUCGCUCAUGGCGGCCGUCAAGCGCUCGCAGGCCAACCAGCGCCGCAACCCGGACACCUUCCAUUUCUACCACCAGGCGGCCACCGCGCAGGCCCCCGCCGCCGUCAAGGUCGAGCUCUCGCAGCUCGUGCUCGCCAUCCUCGACGACCCCCUCGUCAGCCGCGUCUUCGGCGACGCGGGCUUCCACAGCGGCGACAUCAAGCUCGCCAUCCUCCGCCCUGCGCCGCCCAUGCCCAUGCUCGGCCGCCUCCCCACGCGGAGCCGCCCGCCGCCUCUCUUCCUCUGCAGCUUCGCCGCUGCCGACGACGCCGAUGUGCCCUCGCCAGCUGCAGGGAGCCUCGCCAGCGGCACCGGGGAGGAGAACUUCCGCCGCAUCCGCGAGGUUCUCGCCCGAGGCCGCAAUCCCAUGCUCGUCGGCGUCGGGGCUGCCUCCGCCGCUGCCGACUUCGCCGCCCUCUCGCCGUACCGUGUCCUCUCCGUCGGUCCAAGCUCCAUCGACCAGACGGAACUUGGCGUGGCGGCCGCCAUGGCCAGCGCCACCUCCGGCCUCAUCAUAAACAUCGGUGACCUCAAAGAACUGGUCCCUGACGACGGCGAGCUCCAAGAGAUGGGGCGCCGGGUGGUGGCGGAGGUGACGCGAGUGCUGGAGACGCACAGAGCUGGCCGUGUCUGGGUGAUGGGGUGGUCGGCCACGUACGAGACCUACCUCACCUUCUUGUCCAAGUUCCCCUUGCUCGACAAGGAUUGGGAGCUCCAGCUGCUACCGAUCACGGCAGUGCGCGCCGGAGGCAGCCCCGCUGCGCUCAUCCCUCAGGCAACCACCGCCGCGGCUUUCUCCAAGCCUGCAAGCUUUAUGGAUUCGCUCAUUCCUUUUGGAGGACUUGUCAGUGAUUCCUACGAAGCUAACAGCCUCACAGCAAAUUCUUGUCCUCCGGCCCUUCGGUGUCAACAGUGCAAUGAUAGAUAUGAGCAAGAAGUUGCUACUAUCAUUAGAGGAAGUGGCAUUACAGCUGAAGACCAUCACCAGGGAGGUCUACCUUCGCUGCUGCAGAAUGGCAGCAUGAUAGGUGCUAACAAUGGAUUUGAUGCAGUCAAGGUUAGAGAUCAGAUGGUAUUGAAUUCAAAAAUAUCGAAUCUAAAGAAGAAGUGGAACGAGUAUUGCCUACGGCUCCACCAAGGCUGCCAUAGGAUCAACAGUGUUCCAUACCAGUUAUUUCCGCAUUAUAUUGGUGUUCCAGCCAAUGGGGAAAGAGCAGAAAAUCUGAGCAAAGGUCCUGAAUCAGUUGAACUUCAAAGGGAGGUUAUUAGACCUUCUGUAGUGUCUGUUCCACAUACCAAUGCUACCACAACGAGUAUUUCACCCCCAUCUAUCUCUAACCAAAGGACUGACAACCUUACAUUGGAACUUCAAGCUGGGUUUUCAAAGAGUGAUGAAAAGCAGUCCCGACAUGAAACCCUGUCAUACUGUCAUGAUGGCGAAGAUCACGUGUCACCAUCAUCCGCUGCAUCUGUGGCGACUGACUUGGUUUUAGGCACGCCUCGUGAAUCUUCUUCCAACGGUACAAAUUCUGCCAGCUGCAAACAUGUAACUGAUGCAGAGAUAUCUGUACCCAAGAAAGUUGAUGAUUUGAAUCUGAAGCCUCCGCAGAUCUUUGCACAACCCUUUGCUUGUUCCAAGAGUUCCACAAAUAUGGGGCAAACAUCACCUAGUGCUCGGCAUUCAGCAGCUUCUGGAGGUUUGUCUGCUUUUGGUCAUUGGCAGCAACCUUCACACCUCGCAGCACAAGGUUCUGAUUUGAGUAAUUACAAGCUACUUGUGGAACGCCUGUUCCAGGUUGUUGGAAGGCAGGAGGAAGCCUUGAGUGCUAUUUGUGGUUCCAUUGUGCGGUGCAAGUCAAUGGAGAGGCGCCGUGGUGCAAGCAGGAAAAAUGACAUUUGGUUUAGCUUUCAUGGUUCUGAUUGCAUGGCCAAGCGCAGAGUUGCUUUGGCGCUUGCAGAGCUCGUACAUGGCAGCAAAGAGAACAUGAUUUACCUGGACCUGAGUCUCAAGGAUUGGGCCGACUCAAGUUACAGAGGAAAGACUGGCACUGACUAUAUUGUUGACGAGCUGAGCAAGAAACGGCGAUCUGUCAUCUUCCUUGAUGAUGUCGAUAAAGCUGACUGCCUUCUCCAGGACACUCUGACUCAUGCCAGUAAGACUGGUAGAUUCCGAGACUUGCGUGGCAAGGAAGUUGACAUUAAUGACUCCAUUGUUGUGCUGUCAACAAGAACAACCAGAGGCUCCAAAAGUGUGUCUGUUGGAGUGGAAGAGGGUCUUACUUUCACUGAAGAUAAGAUCCUGGCAGCUAGUGGACAUCAACUGAAGAUCCUGGUAGAAUCAUGUACAGCGAUCAGCAGUGAAGGCCAGGGUGAUAAGGUGAUAGUUUCCCCCGGGCACCCUCUCGCCAAAAUUCGUGCAUCUUUGUGCUGUGGGGGUUCAGUCAGCAAGAGAAAGUUCAACAUUUCUGAUGACCAAGAAAAGCUGCAGGAGGAAUCACCGAGCAUUUCCAAGCGACUGCACAGAACAUCAAGUGUUCCGUUCGACCUGAACCUCCCCAUCGACGAGGAUGGUUCGAGCGAUGCUGAUGACCACAGCGGCAGCAAUGACAACUCAUAUGGCACUCCAGAGAGGUCCAUGGACAGCCUCUUGUGUUUGGUUGACGAGCCCAUCGAUUUCAAGCCAUUCGACUUUGACAAAGUCGCCGACUACGUGCUGCAGGAGUUGAGCAAUACACUCCACAAAGUUCUGGGCUCCGGCUGCACACUGGAAAUUGAUGUCGGUGCAAUGGAGCAGAUAAUUGCAGCGGCAUGGGCAUCAGAGGGUAAGAGGCCUCUCCAGGCCUGGCUGGAUCAGGUGUUCGCUGGAAGCCUUGGGGAACUGAACGUCAAGUGUGGUAAGCAUGCCAGCAGUUCCACUCUUACACUAGUGGCCUGUGAGGACAUGGCAGCAGUCAGGGAAGACAAUGGUUUUGGAGGUUUGCUCCCCUCCAGAAUAAUUCUAGAAUGGUGA